AGUCGAGCGGCAGCACAGAGGAACUUGUUCCUUGGGUGGCGAGCGGCGGACGGGUGAGUAAUGCCUAGGAAAUUGCCCUGAUGUGGGGGAUAACCAUUGGAAACGAUGGCUAAUACCGCAUGAUGCCUACGGGCCAAAGAGGGGGACCUUCGGGCCUCUCGCGUCAGGAUAUGCCUAGGUGGGAUUAGCUAGUUGGUGAGGUAAUGGCUCACCAAGGCGACGAUCCCUAGCUGGUCUGAGAGGAUGAUCAGCCACACUGGAACUGAGACACGGUCCAGACUCCUACGGGAGGCAGCAGUGGGGAAUGUUGCACAAUGGGCGCAAGCCUGAUGCAGCCAUGCCGCGUGUAUGAAGAAGGCCUUCGGGUUGUAAAGUACUUUCAGUCGUGAGGAAGGUGGUGUUGUUAAUAGCAGCAUCAUUUGACGUUAGCGACAGAAGAAGCACCGGCUAACUCCGUGCCAGCAGCCGCGGUAAUACGGAGGGUGCGAGCGUUAAUCGGAAUUACUGGGCGUAAAGCGCAUGCAGGUGGUGGAUUAAGUCAGAUGUGAAAGCCCGGGGCUCAACCUCGGAACCGCAUUUGAAACUGGUUCACUAGAGUACUGUAGAGGGGGGUAGAAUUUCCUGUGUAACGGUGAAAUGCGUAG
Molecule: ribosomal RNA, 644 nt
Filed under: uncultured bacterium
Lineage: Bacteria
Description: bacterial SSU rRNA
Rfam family: Bacterial small subunit ribosomal RNA
Source: RNAcentral